GAACGAUGUGGAAGGGAUAUAAGUAUCCCCCGGGAGGGAACCCGGUGGAAAUAUGCAAAGAUGAUCCUGGUGAAGUAAUGCAGCUCUGAAGCUAACCUGACCAGCUGUACAGUUCCUGUUGUUGGUUUCGCAUAAAGCAAUUGCACAUUAUUUUGUCAUA
Long non-coding RNA from Trichechus manatus latirostris (Florida manatee), 160 nucleotides. RefSeq lists it as uncharacterized. NCBI's taxonomy places the organism in Eukaryota, Metazoa, Chordata, Mammalia, Sirenia, Trichechidae. The transcript has 2 exons. The record is from RefSeq and is a predicted model, not a curated record.